This 224-nucleotide long non-coding RNA is filed under the name Capsicum annuum. RNAcentral's name for it is "long non-coding RNA (CANN_LNC005238)". Lineage: Eukaryota; Viridiplantae; Streptophyta; Magnoliopsida; Solanales; Solanaceae. The record is from RNAcentral.
GAGUGUUGUGGAUUGUGUAAACUUUGAAGUGGGAUUGGUUAGGCCUCACUCAAAAUACUUUUCAAUAAUAAGUUUAAAUGGUGUCUUGUAUAUGAAAUCAUAUAAAAUAGCGGGGGAGUGUGAAAAGGAGGUACAAUAAUCCUAUAUUCUUAAUUUUACACCAGAUAAGCAAUAUAAAAACACACCUCACUUUAAGGCCGAGUGGUUUACCAUGAAUCAUCCAC